RNAcentral lists this ribosomal RNA (465 nucleotides) under uncultured bacterium. RNAcentral's name for it is "partial 16S ribosomal RNA". It matches the Rfam family "Bacterial small subunit ribosomal RNA", at positions 338 to 795 of the family's 1533-position model. The record is from RNAcentral.
CCUACGGGAGGCUGCAGUAGGGAAUCUUCCACAAUGGGCGAAAGCCUGAUGGAGCAACGCCGCGUGGGUGAAGAAGGUCUUCGGAUUGUAAAACUCUGUUGUUAGAGAAGAAAGUGCGUGAGAGUAACUGUUCACGUUUCGACGGUAUCUAACCAGAAAGCCACGGCUAACUACGUGCCAGCAGCCGCGGUAAUACGUAGGUGGCAAGCGUUAUCCGGAUUUAUUGGGCGUAAAGGGAACGCAGGCGGUCUUUUAAGUCUGAUGUGAAAGCCUUCGGCUUAACCGGAGUAGUGCAUUGGAAACUGGGAGACUUGAGUGCAGAAGAGGAGAGUGGAACUCCAUGUGUAGCGGUGAAAUGCGUAGAUAUAUGGAAGAACACCAGUGGCGAAGGCGGCUCUCUGGUCGGUAACUGACGCUGAGGUUCGAAAGCGUGGGUAGCAAACAGGAUUAGAUACCCCAGUAGUC